GAGGAGGAUAAUAGAGCAGCAACCAGAGCUGACAAUUGGCCUGUAAAUGCAGCAAAGUUCUCCUAGAGGUGUGAUGUUGGUGGUGAUUUUCUUAUCCGGGGAUAUGGAUGUGGCGGGUCUGUGGGCACCAUGCUGACGCGGAGAAGGAGGUGCAGGUAGCGGGGCGCUUGAGGUGAGGUGGCUGCAGGGUCGCUCGAGAAGAACAGGCUCAUCAGCACCACCUGGAUGCCUUCGUCAUCAGCAAUGUGGACAAGGUAAAGUGGGAUGGUGGGAUUGUAUAGUGCUCAUAAGCCAGUCCGGGCAUUGUCCUUCCUCGAAUGAAUCUGAGACUACUCCUCAUAUGUUAAUCAGUUGCUCCUCCCUAGCUUUGGUUUGGUCUGAACUUCAAAGUUUUCAUCCACUCAAUGUUGAUUCAGUCAAAGAUCUCUUGGAAAAAUUAUUUCGACAAGAUUCACUCUAUAAUGUUGUUAUCAUUGUCCUCUGGAAUAUAUGGAAGCGCAAAAACUCCAAGGUCUCCCGGGAUGUUUUUGAGGAAUUGCACAUUACUGCUAGCAAGAUUGCUGAUGAUUGAUACCAUGGUCCAACAGUUCUCAGUUUUAUGAAGUGGUUCAGGCUGGCGUAAGCCGCCAUAGUCCCAGUAAAAAAAGGCUACAAGCUUCGCUUCGGCCUUUCGGAACUGAAUAUUAUGUAGUUUUAUUGAGAUUAUUGAUAGUGCUUCUCUACUAUCAAAGAAGGUAAUAGUCUCUUAUGUGUUUCUUUUUGUCCAUUUGAAUGCACUCCAUUUUUUAGUGUAUUAAUUAACAUCAAACCUCCCAUUCUUUCUAGAGUGCUGAUGUAUUAUUAUUUUCAGCUUAACACAUUUAACUUCCUAUAGAUUUCAUGGUUUAUGCAGAUUAACCGAGCUAAGAAUUUUUGUGAAGCUAAAGCUGGUGUUAAGAUGAACGCCGCUAUGUAUAUAUUUGAAACAGUUAGAUACAUGCUUGACAGACUAUAUAGGGGUGAUCAAAACCAUGCAAAGCAUUAUGGGACAAGUUUCUCUACCUUAAAUAAGUAUAUGAACUUCAAAUUAUCCUGCAAUGUAUUGACUGCUCGGAGCUAACUUGACUACGCCAGUUUUCUUUUAUGGCUCAAAGUAGUUAGUGUCCCCCCUUAUUAUGAGAGAGGUUCUAUGGCAGUGGAGUAAUGUUCGUAAAUUAUAUAUUGCUUUCAAGUUUGGAGCUGGAAUAAUAUAUGUGCUGCAUUUAGUUAUAGUCUUAUAGAUAUAGAUGAACAUCCA
Long non-coding RNA from Triticum aestivum (bread wheat), 1276 nucleotides. RefSeq lists it as uncharacterized. The transcript is spliced from 5 exons. NCBI's taxonomy places the organism in Eukaryota, Viridiplantae, Streptophyta, Magnoliopsida, Poales, Poaceae. The record is from RefSeq and is a predicted model, not a curated record.